AUUGUCGUGUCGUCGUUUGCUGUAUGCUGUCGUUGCUAGCUGUGUGCGUUAAGCUAUUCCCUGGAUCCUGACUCCUGUUCCUGCUUCCUGGUUUCUGGGGUCGCGGGGGGUGCUGGAGCCUAUCUCAGCUGCAUUCGGGCGGAAGGUACACCCUGGACAAGUCGCCACUUCAUCACAGGGUGUGGCAGACCAGGAAGUACCAGGUGAUGGAGGUUAAUCGUGCCAACAAAAUACCCCUGAUCCCUGAUCGACUGAAUGCUCGGAGAAGACAAUAACCUGGAUGAAGGACAACAUCCGCACACCUCAACUAGGACAGAGCUUUUUCCCAUAAAUAUGUGUCUUUUUAGUUUCGGAACACAAUGUUUUAGCUGAUUUUUAUAAUAAUUGCCUUGUCCUGCUCGUCUGUUUGGGCUCCUCAGGAUGUGUGUGAACACCCGUACCAACAGACAUCUUUAAUGCAUUACCUGUCCUAACUGAGGACCAAAGAUCACGUUUGUGCGAGAGACUCAAUAAACUGUGCAGACAAGACUUAAUUUGUUUACCUUUUG
Molecule: long non-coding RNA, 548 nt
Organism: Nerophis lumbriciformis (worm pipefish)
Lineage: Eukaryota; Metazoa; Chordata; Actinopteri; Syngnathiformes; Syngnathidae
Source: RefSeq, a predicted model, not a curated record